CCUACGGGUGGCAGCAGUGAGGAAUAUUGGUCAAUGGGCGCGAGCCUGAACCAGCCAAGUAGCGUGAAGGAUGACUGCCCUACGGGUUGUAAACUUCUUUUAUAAAGGAAUAAAGUGAGGCACGUGUGCCUUUUUGUAUGUACUUUAUGAAUAAGGAUCGCUAACCCCGUUCCAGCAGCCGCCGUAAAACGGAGGAAUCGAGGGUUAACCGGAUUUUUUGGGUUUAAAGGGAGCGUAGAUGGGUUGUUAAGUCAGUUGUGAAAGUUUGCGGCUCAACCGUAAAAUUGCAAUUGAUACUGGCAGCCUUGAGUACAGUUGAGGUAGGCGGAAUUCGUGGUGUAGCGGUGAAAUGCUUAGAUAUCACGAAGAACUCCGAUUGCGAAGGCAGCUUACUAAACUGCCACUGACAUUGAUGCUCGAAAGUGUGGGUAUCAAACAGGAUUAGAUACCCUUGUAGUC
Molecule: ribosomal RNA, 459 nt
Filed under: uncultured bacterium
Lineage: Bacteria
Description: partial 16S ribosomal RNA
Rfam family: Bacterial small subunit ribosomal RNA
Source: RNAcentral